CUGGAUGUCACUGGAACAGAUCGAUGAAGAGGAAAAAACAGACGUCCUGUGGACGAUUGUCAACACUCUUUCAGUCACUGAGCGGGACAGCUGUCUGGAGCGAGCGUUAGCACUGUCUAUGCGUUGCACGGCGUGUGUCCAGUGACUCCCCGUUUUCGCAUCGUCAGCGGUGUCAGCUUAAUUGCCAAGGCGGGAAGGGUGGAGCGUGUCCUUCAAGCCAGUGCGUAAUUUUCCGCGCAUUGCGUGGCAUUCAACUCCUAAGUUAAAGCUGCAUAGUUGUGGUGCGCCCACUCUCAAUCGGAGCGCUGAAGCCUCCACGUCCGCCAGUGGCUUACUUGCUGAAGCGGCCCUCCACGUUGCAGG
This is a long non-coding RNA of Larimichthys crocea (large yellow croaker), 363 nucleotides long. RefSeq lists it as uncharacterized. Lineage: Eukaryota; Metazoa; Chordata; Actinopteri; Sciaenidae. The record is from RefSeq and is a predicted model, not a curated record. The transcript has 4 exons.